AGGCUGUUAUAUCUCUGAAUGUGAGCAAAAAUAAUACAACAACGUCUUUCUCGUUUUUUAUUGGAGCAAUGUGCAACAAAAGCCAUAAUGGGGUACCUGAUUUGAAUUAAUGGGAUAACAAGACAAGAAAAGUGUGAGUGAAAAAAGCACGAGGAAAAGGUGAAACUGUAUCAAGUUAAUCCAGUUAAUAGCAGUGUGAGAACAUGAAUUGUUAUCUUUACUCUCACCAUUCAAUAAAUUCCGGCAAGCAAGAAAAAACAACAACAUGUAAACAUCAGAUAAUUUCAAGUGCAGCCACCACCAUAUAUUGGAAAGUUUUAAUACUUAUAAAUGAACUGUAAAGUCCAGUGAAAUAAUUAUUGUUUCCUCAAAAAAUUUUCCAGUUACUUGAAAAGCUAUAAAUAGAUUGUAUCGGUUAAAGCAUGGAGAGGAUUACAAUAUUGUUUCUGGUUGCUGUCAAAAAAUCAAUUUUUGGUUUUACCUUUUUCCUCUCUUCUCGUUAAAUUUCAUUUUUUGUCAAGGUUGAUUUCAUUGAUUGUGGAACUGGGUUGGCAAAGAUGACAGGAAACUUGAUGAUAAGAAGCAAAAAGGGAUUGAAAUAUACUUACGAUUUUUUUUAUAAAGAAGUA
Non-coding RNA from Tetranychus urticae (two-spotted spider mite), 629 nucleotides. The record is from RefSeq and is a predicted model, not a curated record. Lineage: Eukaryota; Metazoa; Arthropoda; Arachnida; Trombidiformes; Tetranychidae.